GAUAGGUGGCUGAGUGGUCGAAAGCUCUGGUCUUGAAAACCAGCGAGGGGCAACUCUCCGGGGGUUCGAAUCCCUCCCUAUCC
This 83-nucleotide transfer RNA is filed under the name bovine gut metagenome. It matches the Rfam family "tRNA". Rfam says of the family: Transfer RNA (tRNA) molecules are approximately 80 nucleotides in length. Their secondary structure includes four short double-helical elements and three loops (D, anti-codon, and T loops). The record is from RNAcentral.